RNAcentral lists this ribosomal RNA (702 nucleotides) under Bougainvillea spectabilis. RNAcentral's name for it is "eukaryotic LSU rRNA". The stretch from base 277 to 432 matches the Rfam family "5.8S ribosomal RNA". The record is from RNAcentral. Lineage: Eukaryota; Viridiplantae; Streptophyta; Magnoliopsida; Caryophyllales; Nyctaginaceae.
AAAGUCGUAACAAGGUUUCCGUAGGUGAACCUGCGGAAGGAUCAUUGUCGAAACCUGCUCAGCAGAAAGACCCGUGAACGUGUUUCAUAUACAUUAGGAGGGGCGAUCCCCAUUAGGGCCUCGCUCGCCUCCAUGUGUUGGGGGGUGCCCUGAGCGGGUGCACCUCAGCGCAAACAACAAACCCCGGCGCAGGAUGCGCCAAGGAACAUGAACACUAGCGUACCCCUCAUCCCGGCUUGCCGGCGUGUUGUGGCACCUAAUGGUUGGAACAAAAAUGACUCUCGGCAACGGAUAUCUCGGCUCUCGCAUCGAUGAAGAACGUAGCGAAAUGCGAUACUUGGUGUGAAUUGCAGAAUCCCGUGAACCAUCGAGUCUUUGAACGCAAGUUGCGCCUGAAGCCAAUAGGCUGAAGGCACGUCUGCCUGGGCGUCACGCAUCGCGUCUCCCCCAUCCACCCCUUGUGGGUUGGUGGGGAAGGAUGAUGGCUUCCCGUGCACUUGAUGGGUGCGGCUGGCCUAAAAAAGGGAGCCCAAUGCGAUUAAUUGCUGCGGCAAUUGGUGGUUGACAAGGCCUUGGCCGUCGUUACAUCGUGUCGUGUGCGCAUGUUGUCAUUUGGAGCUCGCAUGACCCUGAUCAAACCGUUGCGACCCCAGGUCAGGCGGGGCUACCCGCUGAGUUUAAGCAUAUCAAUAAGCGGAGGAA